RNAcentral lists this ribosomal RNA (864 nucleotides) under uncultured bacterium. RNAcentral describes it as "bacterial SSU rRNA". It matches the Rfam family "Bacterial small subunit ribosomal RNA", at positions 641 to 1504 of the family's 1533-position model. The record is from RNAcentral.
CUUGAGUGUGGUAGGGGCAGAGGGAAUUCCCGGUGUAGCGGUGAAAUGCGUAGAUAUCGGGAAGAACACCAGUGGCGAAGGCGCUCUGCUGGGCCAUAACUGACGCUCAUGGACGAAAGCCAGGGGAGCGAAAGGGAUUAGAUACCCCUGUAGUCCUGGCCGUAAACGAUGAACACUAGGUGUCGGGGGAAUCGACCCCCUCGGUGUCGUAGCCAACGCGUUAAGUGUUCCGCCUGGGGAGUACGCACGCAAGUGUGAAACUCAAAGGAAUUGACGGGGGCCCGCACAAGCGGUGGAGUAUGUGGUUUAAUUCGAUGCAACGCGAAGAACCUUACCAGGGUUUGACAUCCUGCGAACCUCUUGGAAACGAGAGGGUGCCUUCGGGAACGCAGUGACAGGUGGUGCAUGGCUGUCGUCAGCUCGUGUCGUGAGAUGUUGGGUUAAGCCCCGCAACGAGCGCAACCCACGUCUUUAGUUGCCAGCAUUUAGUUGGGCACUCUAGAGAGACCGCCGGUGAUAAACCGGAGGAAGGUGUGGAUGACGUCAAGUCAUCAUGCCCCUUACAUCCUGGGCUACACACGUACUACAAUGCUACGGACAAAGAGCAGCAAGUUCGCGAGGACAAGCAAAUCUCAUAAACCGUGGCUCAGUUCAGAUCGUAGGCUGCAACUCGCCUACGUGAAGGAGGAAUCGCUAGUAAUCGCAGGUCAGCAUACUGCGGUGAAUACGUUCCCGGGCCUUGUACACACCGCCCGUCACACCAUGGAAGUUGGCCACGCCCGAAGCCGUUACUCCAACCCUUGUGGAGGAGGACGUCGAAGGUGGGGCUGAUGACUGGGGUGAAGUCGUAACAAGGUAACCGUA